Molecule: ribosomal RNA, 445 nt
Filed under: uncultured bacterium
Lineage: Bacteria
Description: partial 16S ribosomal RNA
Rfam family: Bacterial small subunit ribosomal RNA
Source: RNAcentral
GCCAGACUCCUACGGGAGGCAGCAGUGGGGAAUAUUGCACAAUGGGGGGAACCCUGAUGCAGCGACGCCGCGUGGGUGAAGAAGUCAUUCGUGACGUAAAGCCCUAUCAGCAGGGAAGAAAAUGACGGUACCUGACUAAGAAGCCCCGGCUAACUACGUGCCAGCAGCCGCGGUAAUACGUAGGGGGCAAGCGUUAUCCGGAUUUACUGGGUGUAAAGGGAGCGUAGACGGCAUGGCAAGUCUGAUGUGAAAACCUGGGGCUCAACCCCGGGACUGCAUUGGAAACUGUCAGGCUAGAGUGUCGGAGAGGCAAGUGGAAUUCCUAGUGUAGCGGUGAAAUGCGUAGAUAUUAGGAGGAACACCAGUGGCGAAGGCGGCUUGCUGGACGAUGACUGACGUUGAGGCUCGAAAGCGUGGGGAGCAAACAGGAUUAGAUACCCUUGUA